ACGGCAGCACGGGAGCAAUCCUGGUGGCGAGUGGCGAACGGGUGAGUAAAGCAUCGGAACGUGCCCAGUAGUGGGGGAUAGCCCGGCGAAAGCCGGAUUAAUACCGCAUACGACCUAAGGGUGAAGGCGGGGGAUCGCAAGACCUCGCGCUAUUGGAGCGGCCGAUGUCAGAUUAGGUAGUUGGUGGGGUAAAGGCCUACCAAGCCGACGAUCUGUAGCUGGUCUGAGAGGACGACCAGCCACACUGGGACUGAGACACGGCCCAGACUCCUACGGGAGGCAGCAGUGGGGAAUUUUGGACAAUGGGCGCAAGCCCGAUCCAGCCAUGCCGCGUGCAGGAAGAAGGCCUUCGGGUUGUAAACUGCUUUUGUCAGGGAAGAAAUCCUUUGGGUUAAUACCUCGGAGGGAUGACGGUACCUGAAGAAUAAGCACCGGCUAACUACGUGCCAGCAGCCGCGGUAAUACGUAGGGUGCGAGCGUUAAUCGGAAUUACUGGGCGUAAAGCGUGCGCAGGCGGUUAUGCAAGACAGAUGUGAAAUCCCCGAGCUCAACCUGGGAACUGCAUUUGUGACUGCAUGACUAGAGUACGGCAGAGGGAGAUGGAAUUCCGCGUGUAGCAGUGAAAUGC
RNAcentral lists this ribosomal RNA (628 nucleotides) under uncultured bacterium. RNAcentral describes it as "bacterial SSU rRNA". It matches the Rfam family "Bacterial small subunit ribosomal RNA", at positions 66 to 689 of the family's 1533-position model. The record is from RNAcentral.